This 253-nucleotide ribosomal RNA is filed under the name uncultured bacterium. RNAcentral describes it as "partial 16S ribosomal RNA". It matches the Rfam family "Bacterial small subunit ribosomal RNA", at positions 524 to 776 of the family's 1533-position model. The record is from RNAcentral.
UACGUAGGGAGCAAGCGUUGUCCGGAAUCAUUGGGCGUAAAGCGCGUGUAGGCGGUCCGGUAAGUCCGCUGUGAAAGUCGGGGGCUCAACCCUCGAAUGCCGGUGGAUACUGUCGGGCUAGAGUGCGGGAGAGGCGAGUGGAAUUCCUGGUGUAGCAGUGAAAUGCGCAGAUAUCAGGAGGAACACCGAUUGCGAAGGCAGCUCGCUGGAACGUUACUGACGCUGAGACGCGAAAGCGUGGGGAGCAAACAGG